Molecule: ribosomal RNA, 460 nt
Filed under: uncultured bacterium
Lineage: Bacteria
Description: partial 16S ribosomal RNA
Rfam family: Bacterial small subunit ribosomal RNA
Source: RNAcentral
CCUACGGGUGGCAGCAGUGAGGAAUAUUGGUCAAUGGACGAGAGUCUGAACCAGCCAAGUAGCGUGAAGGAUGACUGCCCUAUGGGUUGUAAACUUCUUUUAUAUGGGAAUAAAAUGGUCCACGUGUGGGAUUUUGUAUGUACCAUAUGAAUAAGGAUCGGCUAACUCCGUGCCAGCAGCCGCGGUAAUACGGAGGAUCCGAGCGUUAUCCGGAUUUAUUGGGUUUAAAGGGAGCGUAGGUGGAUUGUUAAGUCAGUUGUGAAAGUUUGCGGCUCAACCGUAAAAUUGCAGUUGAAACUGGCAGUCUUGAGUACAGUAGAGGUGGGCGGAAUUCGUGGUGUAGCGGUGAAAUGCUUAGAUAUCACGAAGAACUCCGAUUGCGAAGGCAGUUCACUGGACUGCAACUGACACUGAGGCUCGAAAGUGUGGGUAUCAAACAGGAUUAGAUACCCGAGUAGUC